RNAcentral lists this non-coding RNA (958 nucleotides) under Pomacanthus xanthometopon (yellowface angelfish). RNAcentral describes it as "12S ribosomal RNA". It matches the Rfam family "Bacterial small subunit ribosomal RNA". The record is from RNAcentral. Lineage: Eukaryota; Metazoa; Chordata; Actinopteri; Pomacanthidae.
CAAAGGUUUGGUCCUAGCCUUUCUAACAACUCUAGCCUAACUUACACAUGCAAGUAUCCGCACUCCCGUGAAAAUGCCCUACAGUCCCCUGCUUGGGAACAAGGAGCUGGCAUCAGGCACAUCCUUUUCAAGCCCACGACGCCUUGCUUAGCCACACCCCCAAGGGAAUUCAGCAGUGAUAAAUAUUAAGCCAUAAGUGAAAACUUGACUUAGUCAAGGCUAAGAGGGCCGGUAAAUCUCGUGCCAGCCACCGCGGUUAUACGAGUGAGCCCAAGCUGUUAGACACCGGCGUAAAGCGUGGUUAAGAUGCCCCAAAUACUAAAGCCGAACGCCUUCUAUACUGUUAUACGUUCCCCGAAGGUAAGAAGCCCAAUCACGAAAGUAGCUUUAAAUAUAUCUGAAUCCACGAAAGCCAGGACACAAACUGGGAUUAGAUACCCCACUAUGCCUGGCCGUAAACAUAGACAGUCCACAUACCCCACUGUCCGCCCGGGGACUACGAGCAUUAGCUUAAAACCCAAAGGACUUGGCGGUGCUUUAUACCCACCUAGAGGAGCCUGUUCUAGAACCGAUAACCCCCGUUCAACCUCACCCUUCCUUGUUCUUCCCGCCUAUAUACCGCCGUCGUCAGUUUACCCUGUGAAGGCCCAAUAGUAAGCAAAAUCGGCACAGCCCAAAACGUCAGGUCGAGGUGUAGCGUAUGGAAGGGGAAGAAAUGGGCUACAUUCCCUAUCAUAGGGCAUACGGAUGAUUACGCUGAAACGCAUAUCUGAAGGAGGAUUUAGCAGUAAGCAGAAAGUAGAGUGUUCUGCUGAAGCCGGCUCUGAAGCGCGUACACACCGCCCGUCACUCUCCCCAAGCUAGCACAUUAAAACUAAUUAAAACACCACAACUGCAAAGGGGAGGCAAGUCGUAACAUGGUAAGUGUACCGGAAGGUGCACUUGGAAUCAAAUACAA